RNAcentral lists this ribosomal RNA (432 nucleotides) under uncultured bacterium. RNAcentral's name for it is "partial 16S ribosomal RNA". It matches the Rfam family "Bacterial small subunit ribosomal RNA", at positions 29 to 507 of the family's 1533-position model. The record is from RNAcentral.
ACGCACGCUGGCGGCAUGCCUAACACGUGCACGUCGAACGAGACCUUCGGGUCUAGUGGCGCACGGGUGCGUAACGCGUGGGAACCUGCCCUUAGGUUCGGAAUAACUCCCCGAAAGGGGUGCUAAUACCGGAUAAUGUCUUCGGACCAAAGAUUUAUCGCCUUUGGAUGGGCCCGCGUUGGAUUAGCUAGUUGGUAGGGUAAAAGCCUACCAAGGCGACGAUCCAUAGCUGGUCUGAGAGGAUGAUCAGCCACACUGGGACUGAGACACGGCCCAGACUCCUACGGGAGGCAGCAGUGGGGAAUAUUGGACAAUGGGCGAAAGCCUGAUCCAGCAAUGCCGCGUGAGUGAUGAAGGCCUUAGGGUUGUAAAGCUCUUUUACCCGGGAUGAUAAUGACAGUACCGGGAGAAUAAGCUCCGGCUAACUCCGUG